Gossypium hirsutum (cotton) is the source of this 73-nucleotide non-coding RNA. NCBI's taxonomy places the organism in Eukaryota, Viridiplantae, Streptophyta, Magnoliopsida, Malvales, Malvaceae. The record is from Rfam.
UCGCUCUAGUUUAGUCAGGUAGAAUAUGGGUUUCCAAAACUCAAUUUUGUAGGUUCAAAUCCUACAGAGCGUG